This 679-nucleotide ribosomal RNA is filed under the name uncultured Acinetobacter sp. RNAcentral's name for it is "bacterial SSU rRNA". It matches the Rfam family "Bacterial small subunit ribosomal RNA", at positions 60 to 732 of the family's 1533-position model. Lineage: Bacteria; Pseudomonadati; Pseudomonadota; Gammaproteobacteria; Moraxellales; Moraxellaceae. The record is from RNAcentral.
AGUCGAGCGGGCGAGGUUGCUUCGGUAGCUGAGCUAGCGGCGGACGGGUGAGUAAAGCUUAGGAAUCUGCCUAUUAGUGGGGGACAACAUUCCGAAGGGGAUGCUAAUACCGCAUACGUCCUACGGGAGAAAGCAGGGGAUCUUUAUGACCUUGCGCUAAUAGAUGAGCCUAAGUCGGAUUAGCUAGUUGGUGGGGUAAAGGCCUACCAAGGCGACGAUCUGUAGCGGGUCUGAGAGGAUGAUCCGCCACACUGGGACUGAGACACGGCCCAGACUCCUACGGGAGGCAGCAGUGGGGAAUAUUGGACAAUGGGGGGAACCCUGAUCCAGCCAUGCCGCGUGUGUGAAGAAGGCCUUUUGGUUGUAAAGCACUUUAAGCGAGGAGGAGGCUUACCUGGUUAAUACCUGGGAUAAGUGGACGUUACUCGCAGAAUAAGCACCGGCUAACUCUGUGCCAGCAGCCGCGGUAAUACAGAGGGUGCGAGCGUUAAUCGGAUUUACUGGGCGUAAAGCGCGCGUAGGUGGUUAAUUAAGUCAAAUGUGAAAUCCCCGAGCUUAACUUGGGAAUUGCAUUCGAUACUGGUUAGCUAGAGUAUGGGAGAGGAUGGUAGAAUUCCAGGUGUAGCGGUGAAAUGCGUAGAGAUCUGGAGGAAUACCGAUGGCGAAGGCAGCCAUCUGG